CAGCCCGGUUUGUUGGCUAGAGCGCUUCCCUUACAAGGAAGAUGUCAUCGGUUCGAGUCCGGUUGGGCCCACCA
This 74-nucleotide transfer RNA is filed under the name Micrococcales bacterium. RNAcentral describes it as "tRNA-Val". It matches the Rfam family "tRNA". From Rfam's summary of the family: Transfer RNA (tRNA) molecules are approximately 80 nucleotides in length. Their secondary structure includes four short double-helical elements and three loops (D, anti-codon, and T loops). Further hydrogen bonds mediate the characteristic L-shaped molecular structure. tRNAs have two regions of fundamental functional importance: the anti-codon, which is responsible for specific mRNA codon recognition, and the 3' end, to which the tRNAs corresponding amino acid is attached (by aminoacyl-tRNA synthetases). tRNAs cope with the degeneracy of the genetic code in two manners: having more than one tRNA (with a specific anti-codon) for a particular amino acid; and 'wobble' base-pairing, i.e. permitting non-standard base-pairing at the 3rd anti-codon position. Lineage: Bacteria; Bacillati; Actinomycetota; Actinomycetes; Micrococcales. The record is from RNAcentral.